CGGCACGGAGCUGGCAUCUGGAGUUAGCGCGAUCCCCACCAACACUGCUGCCUACCUUCCCUCCCCAAGAAGCCUGGCAGCUGGUGACUUUGCCUGGCUCCUGGCUCCUGGCUCCUGGCUCCCAGCACAGCUUCUAGAGGCCGCCGUGCACCCCCUCAGUUCUACCCCAGGAAGCCCCAAAUUCUACAGCCUGUAGCUUCUCAAGCUUCAUCCUCAGAACUUCCCAGAGCCCAUUCAUUCAUUCAUUCAUUCAAGGAAUGUUUUACUGAGCUCCUGCUAGGUAUUAGGCAUCCAUGGAUACACCCUUGGGAUACAGGAAGGCACAAACUUCUAAAGCAUUCUGCAGAUGUUAGAAGAAACUCCAGGAAGGUUCUGAACACCCCAGGCUGUUUGAGCCUCCAUGGCUCCAUACCUUCUGGAAUUCCUCUUCUGACGCCGCCUGGUGAACAUCUACUCGUCCUUCAUUUCCGCUACUAAUGAAUCCCUCUUGGAGGAAAAUUCCAGAAGAAAGAAGCAAAGAGAGCAUGAAAGAAAUCCUGAAUUCUAAAAUGGCUAUUUUCGAAGGUUUAACAUAAGCAGUUCCUUUCAACUAUUCUCACACUCAUUCUAGGGUGCCUCAUUAGCUACAAAAAAUGCACAUUUAACUAGUGGAACCAAUUAGUGAUGCUGAUUCUUUUCAUCUUUUUUGAGAUUACCAAGUUAUUCAAGAUACAUUUAACAAAUAUAUGGAUAAAACAUGUGUGAUUUAUUUUCAAUUGCUCUGGGUCAAUAAAAGACUUAAAUGCAUAUUAUCAAAUCAAAUCAAAUCAUGGAUUGAUUAAAUCUAUUGCUUAUCUUACUUCAUCUUAUUAAAUAUUUAAUAUUUUCUGUUACCUACUAAUAAAAAUACAAAGUUAUAUGAUGAACUGAUUAGUUUGUUUUCUUUAGUAGUAUAUAUCUUUCUCUGUCACUGAAUAGAUAGGAAAAGUUUGAUUACAAUGUUUAAUAAGUUAUUUCUGCUUUUUAAAUGUGGAAUUUUAUUUAUUUUUUCCCAAAACCUGAACACCAGAGUUUGAGAACGCAU
Molecule: long non-coding RNA, 1063 nt
Organism: Leopardus geoffroyi (Geoffroy's cat)
Lineage: Eukaryota; Metazoa; Chordata; Mammalia; Carnivora; Felidae
Exons: 4
Source: RefSeq, a predicted model, not a curated record